This is a long non-coding RNA of Triticum dicoccoides, 674 nucleotides long. RefSeq lists it as uncharacterized. The record is from RefSeq and is a predicted model, not a curated record. NCBI's taxonomy places the organism in Eukaryota, Viridiplantae, Streptophyta, Magnoliopsida, Poales, Poaceae. The transcript is spliced from 3 exons.
GGUUCUGGGCCGGUCACAGGUCGCUGCUGAGGAGCAGAGGAGGACGGCGGGGAGGGAGAAGGAGCACAGGAGGACGGCACUGGGGGAAGGAGAAGCGAAGUCGGAGGCCGAGACGGCGCUCGCGUCAUGUGUCAGACGCUGCUCGUCGGCCCUCGUUGUCGUCCUCAAUCUAGGUUGCCCAUCUGCGUCUCACCUUCUUCUUUAACCUUAGUUUUUUGAUGAUCUGAUUUCAAUCGUUGGUUUAUCGUUUUUCUAAGCAUGAUGUGUGAAGAUCUGAGACAAAAAAGAAGAGGAAGAAUUUUGACGAAGAGUUGGGUCAUGGGGAACAAAGGUCAUCAGAACAUACAUAACUGUUGCCGAAGCCCUCUUGCUAAAGAGGAAAGCACAAGAAGAUAUGAUCGAAUUAAAUGGGUAGUGCAUUUAUCUUGUUGGUUAGUUCCCUCAUCGGCCUACUUACUGUUACCUGCGAGUUUCAGGUAUAAUACUCCCCCCCUUAGCAAAGGGUGAAUUCUCUGGUUUUGAUUGGCCGGGAGAAACUCCAUGAGUCUUGAGGAUUUUCGGAAAUGUUGGAAUCAGUGGUGUUUUGUUUUUGAUGAUAUUAUCCGAUAGAGGUGACAAGGAGAGAAGAUGCUAGCUCAAUGGUGCUGGCCAUGAAGGAUUUUGGCGCAUCCAAG